ACCUGUUUGACUUUCCAGAAAGAGCAAAGCAAAAGACAGAAGAAGAGGUCGUGUGUAUUUGAGACUGGUGCUUUUCUUUCAAGGAAAGGUUCUGAGGUGAGAGUGGCUGGCAGCUAAUUUUUCUUUCCCCUGGCUGCAGGUUGUAGGCCAAGUAGCAGAAAUGUAUUUAUUUUUAUUAGACAGAAGAGGAAUCAUAGGAUUUUGGAGCUAAGAGACACCUUCCAGCUGCCAAGAACAUUGCUGAAAGUCACUGGAAAUUAGGACAACUCCUUUCCAGAUUUCUCUGAAGCUGUUUGACCUAUUCAAAGAUUGGGUGUUUGUUGAGAUUCCAUAAUUAUUGGGUAAAGUAUUGGGUCAUAAGUGUUGGGUCAAAAGGUUUUUUAUUUUUUUUAAUUACAUUUAGAAAUCUUGAUAGUAAAUAAAGGAGAUAGCUCCUAAAUCUGAAAU
This 447-nucleotide long non-coding RNA is filed under the name Phascolarctos cinereus (koala). Its description in RNAcentral is "lncRNA (ENSPCIG00000033147.1)". Lineage: Eukaryota; Metazoa; Chordata; Mammalia; Diprotodontia; Phascolarctidae. The record is from RNAcentral.